AAGUCGUAACAAGGUUACCGUAGGUGAACCUGCGGUAGGAUCAUUGACACUUUUUGACACACACAAAAAAAACAUGCGAAUUUUGAAGAAAGUUCAAUUUUUUUUUCUUCUUAAAAAUAAAAAUUUUUCAAUCCUUUCAAACCAUUAGAUUUCUAUUAUUGAAAUUUAUACGAUUACAUUUUCAACAAUGGAUCUCUUGGCUCUC
Molecule: unclassified non-coding RNA, 205 nt
Filed under: fungal sp.
Lineage: Eukaryota; Fungi
Description: partial internal transcribed spacer region
Rfam family: Eukaryotic small subunit ribosomal RNA (bases 1-46)
Source: RNAcentral